UACGUAGGGUGCGAGCGUUGUCCGGAAUUAUUGGGCGUAAAGAGCUUGUAGGCGGUUUGUCGCGUCUGCUGUGAAAAUCCGGGGCUCAACCCCGGACUUGCAGUGGGUACGGGCAGACUAGAGUGUGGUAGGGGAGACUGGAAUUCCUGGUGUAGCGGUGAAAUGCGCAGAUAUCAGGAGGAACACCGAUGGCGAAGGCAGCUCGCUGGGACGUUACUGACG
Molecule: ribosomal RNA, 222 nt
Filed under: uncultured bacterium
Lineage: Bacteria
Description: partial 16S ribosomal RNA
Rfam family: Bacterial small subunit ribosomal RNA
Source: RNAcentral